Molecule: unclassified non-coding RNA, 377 nt
Filed under: uncultured Parachlamydiaceae bacterium
Lineage: Bacteria; Pseudomonadati; Chlamydiota; Chlamydiia; Parachlamydiales; Parachlamydiaceae
Description: contains 16S-23S intergenic spacer region
Source: RNAcentral
UCCGGUUUGUCACCGGCAGUCUCAUUAGAGUUCCCACCUUAAAUGUUGGCAACUAAUGAUAAGGGUUGCGCUCGUUGCGGGACUUAACCCAACACCUCACGGCACGAGCUGACGACAGCCAUGCAGCACCUGUGCAGAUGUCCCGAAGGAAGACUCUAUUUCUAGAGCUGUCAUCUGCAUGUCAAGUCUGGGUAAGGUUCUUCGCGUUGCAUCGAAUUAAACCACAUGCUCCACUGCUUGUGCGGGUCCCCGUCAAUUCUUUUGAGUUUCACCCUUGCGAGUGUACUCCCCAGGCGGUAUACUUAACGCGUUAGCUUCGGCACAACUAGGGUUGAGUCCAGUUACACCAAGUAUACAUAGUUUACGGCAAGGACUAC